GAUGGUAUAAUUUGGAAGUUAGCACAGGGAGUCGACUCUCCUCAAGAUAAGACACUUCCUCUAGCAACUUUGCUUGAAUGUUGUGCCUGCUGCUACUACAUAUGCAAAAGAAAAAAAAUAUAGUUUCUCUUGGCGAUGGUGCCCUUAAGAGUUUGUGGCAACAAACUUUGAUAUGACUAAUUUAGUCCUUCUUGACCUUUCACAUGGCAAUGUUUCAGAGAAAUGGAUUUGCUGGAAUCAAAUCAUAAUAUAGUACGAAUCUCACUCCUUGCAUACAUGUAUCAUUCCUUGUCAUUUUUUUUCCUGAAAAUACUUUCUUAUAUAUUUUUUGUUUUGCAGGUGGCAAGUAAACUAGAAGUACUAGAUCUCAACAAUUGUGAAUACUUAAUGAGAACACCUAAUUUAUCUAUGUUGGUGUCCUUGGAGAGAUUGACUCUUGAAGGUUGUCACAACUUAAUUGAAAUUGACCCAUCCAUUGGUAAAUUAAAGCUCCUAACUACUUUGAACUUGAAGGGAUGUGACUCUUUUCAAGAGUUACCUGAAGAGAUAGGAUAUCUACAAGCUUUGAUAGAGAUUGUCAUGCCUAGUACGCUACAUGAGCUUUCAAAGAGAUUUGUUAAUUUACGGUCAUUGUUGACCUUUGAUAUCACAGAGGCAGAUUAGCAAACUGCCAUACUUGAUUGGAGAGCUAGUGAAACUUAGGUGGUUGGAUUUAUCAGGGUGUACGAAGAUAGAGGAACUUCCAGACUCAGGUUUGGGAAUUACAAUCCUUAGUUGAGUUGGAUUUCUCAUUGAUAAUAUUUGUGGACCUUAGAAAGACUUAAAGAUUGACAAGUUUCCUCUGCUAUGUGCAGUGAACAAGAAGCAUCACCCUCCAUUUUUGAGUGAUGAAGAAUGGCCUUUCGAUAAAAUAGCCAAAGACGGCGCUCUACGCAAGCACAUGGCUUUGAGAGGAAUCAACACUGUUGCAGAAAAAAGAAUAAGGGAAGCACAAGCAGUUUGCGACUGCAUUUUUUUACCAAAUUACCGGCAACCAUCUUCACUAGCAGUCAGAUAAGCCCGAGGAUGGUACUCCUCUGAGGAUCGAACUAGUAGAUGGCAGGACCAAUGAGAGGAUUAUGAGUGGCCCUCUAUCUUCCAUAAAGCUCAAAAUUGUCAUCCUUGAAGGCGAUUUCGGGUCAGACGAGGGAGAGGAUUGGACCGAGAAGGAAUUCAACUACAAUAUCGUUUGCGAAAGGGAAGGGAUAAGGCCAUUGAUAACUGGGGAGCUUACUGUGAUCUUGCAAGGAGGAAUUGGUUGCCUCCGUAAUUUAAUCAUCACUGACAGCUCGAGCUGGAUGAGAAGUCGGGAAAUGAGCUCGAGUUAUUCAAAAGAUUUCUGCAGAAAUAAGAAUAAGUGAAGUGAGAAGUGAAACUUUCAUCAUUAAAUAUCAUCGAGGAGAGUGUAAGUUUGCAAUGCCUAUCAUUUUACGAUAACAAUUUAAUUCCAACCAUCAACUCUGUAUGUGGACCAUAGAAAGACUGACUGACAAGUUUUCUCUGUUAUGUGCAGUGAACAAGAAGCACUAUCCACAAUCACUGAGCGACGAAGUAUGGCGUUUGCAGAAAAUAGCCAAAGACAGCACUCUGCAUAAGGGCAUGAUUUCGAGAGGAAUCAACACUGUUCAAGAUUUCCUCCAGCUGUACGAAGUGGAUGCGCCUUUCUAAGAAACAUAGUGACUCUCACUCUUCGAGCACUGCUAAUUUCCCUUUUUUCCAGUUCACAUUAUUCUAAGCAUUGUUCAAUAUCAAAUCGUGGUACUUCUUUUGUGUGCGAUGUUGUUUGAGGUACUUGGAAAUGGGAUCACCAAGCGGACAUGGGAGUCAAUCGUCAGACAUGCCAGCCCCUGUGUGAUCAACGAUGACGAUGUAUUUCUACCAAGCUUUGAACAAGGCCAGUAUAGUGUUCAAUUCGGUCAUGAAAGUUGCUCAAGCAGCACUCGAUGGCCAAAUUUACCAGUCGGUAGGCAUAUUGGCCCACUCUCAGAAGGCACAUAAAUCAUAACCCGAAAUAUCUCUAUCUAAUAGCUGAGUGUGAAUAUAUCUGGACCUAUAGAAGGGCCUGUAUUUAUCAGUUUUGUCUGCUUCCAUGGCAGAAUAUAUACCACAAACACUUCUCUUAAAAAAAUACCCGUUUGAUUUUGGACUUGAUUGAACCCGCUGCUCAGUUGACAGAUUUUGUUGCAGAACUUGAAAUGGCUAGCUUACGAUAACAACAAUCAAUGGUGGCGCUCGAUGCCCUACCCAGCUUCUCUCUUCUGAGAGCCCCAACCAAUUUGCCUACAGAGCCGUCAAUUGGCCUGAGCCUGCCACUUCAUCAUCUAUUUUACACAGAGUUAAACCAAGGUAUUGUGGUAUUACAUCACUUCCAUCUAUCUUUUCCUUUUUGGCCUUCUUAAUCUUUCACAGUUUAGUGUUCCCAUUUCUUUAUUGGCACAUCCACCUUUUUGCACAUCUAUGGUGGCUGAAACCGAAAUGCAUCAUUAUUCAGAUAGACCAGAAGUGACUCCUGAAUUUAGUUACUCAUUGGUUUCAGCAUCGUGCUGCUACAAUGUCACAGAGAUCAGACAAUUAGGUUGUCUGGGGCCAGAGAGUCAUAUCACUGCAAAAAUCUUUGAUCCGACUGUAAUCAACAGCUUGGCAAGGGAGGACUUUUUGUCCAGUUUUGAGUGCUGGCGAAAGCAGUCAUCUUCCUGGUUACACACAAGAUCUGUUUGCGCCGAACAUCCAUUUUUCUCCUGAGGAGCUUUUCCAAGUGCCAUCUCCAAUCCCUGGCAAUUUAAUGUGGACACCGGAGCAUAUUUUCAUCAUUGAGUCGAGCAGCGGGGUAGAUUUUGGGAUCUGCCCAUCUCGCACGGGUUAUGGAGUCCAUAAUUCUAGGAUUACAAGGCCCAAGGUGGUAUGGUGCAAGAUCCGUGAUGUGGUGAAGUGGGGAUUGGUUCGGCACGUUGUGGGUGCAAAGAGAAGAGCAAUGUUCAAUUGUGCAAGUUAUCCAGCUAUAUAAAUGGAGAGUCCCAUCCCCCAAAAGAAUUUUGGGUGCUUCAGGAGCACGAAGCUCUCGUCCACACAAGCCAGUCAUCACAUGCGAAGUACAAAAAAGAAGGAAAUUCAUGAUACUUGAUGCGAGGAGAUUGUCUUGGGAGUAUGAGAAUGUCUAGUUCUAGGGGUAAGCUGCCCAGGAUGCAUCAUCGACUUAGUAUUAUGCAUGAUCACUGAGAUUUUCUCUAUUGUUUUUUGUUGAUUGUCCUUUCAUAUUUGAAUGAAGUUGUGCACCAUUAAGAUGGGGCUGCCAAUUGGACGUGUCUUCUCUCUAUAGGUCACGCAAGCUGAUCUUAGGAAGUACCUCAAUACAGGGGUUCUUCCUCAAGAAUUGUAAGGCUUUUGCUCUCUUCUUCAAGAAUUGUUUGGCAUUCUGUUUGUCCCAAAUACAUCAUCCCUUGAUUUGUCAGUUUACUGUUCUGAUAUGCUUAGUGGACUUUUCUUUGCUUUACAAAAUUUGUGAGUAUGUUACUUAGUUUGCGAGAUCCAAAGUUUCUCCUGUCAGCUUUGCUCUUAUUGGUCUGAAAUAUUAUAUGGUAACAAUUAGUCACAAAGCCCACAAUCUUGACGGUAUAUAGUCAAGGUUCUUCUAUCGCCAAUGUGGGACCAUGUUUUCCUCGUACAUUCCACCGAGUUCCUGUAGGCUUGGAUCUAAGACCGCUUCAAGACUAUUCCAGCGAAUAUUUCUGGGCGAGAAAAGAGAUGAAUUUUUCUCUUUCUAAAUUGUGCAGUUUUGCUUUCAUCUGCGAAAAAUUGAAAUGGAAACAAUUCAUCUUUUAUCAUUGAAAAUAUGCAAGACUUGCAAAGUUUCCCAUUUGAUCAAUGAAAAGUGCUUAUUUGAUUGUGGUAGUGAGUUCUAACGGAAGAAAUAGGGAGAACCAAAAAAGUAUCCUUGGGCAGAAAGUAAGAUCCGAAUACGAACUUGUAAAGAAAAGAGUGUACCAGCAAUCUAGGACGUUGCACACAUGUACCACGUACCUAAAAUUGUCGAUGGUGUUAAGCACGUUUUAGUUCCUAAAUCUGUCAUAGGUAACAGCGGUGAAAAAUGGAAUUCUUCUCUUGUAGGGCAAGGUCUUGGCAAGAAAGAGUAUUGGAUUUAUUUCCACUGCAGUGAAUAUGUUGUGGUGACGAGGAGAUUGAGAACGGAAUGUUCCUUAUGAACCUUUCCUCUUCCAGACCAUUGCGCACUAUCUUCUUGUGCUAAGAAAAUGGAAGCCUGAACUACAAAGUUAGGAGGUCUCUGAUGUGAAAACUGUUGUCUAGGCUAAGCUGCAGAGCGUUCCUCUGUAUCUUCUGACAUUGGAGGGAGGUCUUGACGGCUUUUUCAAGAGUGAGAAAGGCUUAAGGCAGGUCAAUCCUUUAUUGCAUAUUUUUGUUAUGGUGAUGGAGGUUUUCCCAGAACUGUUCAAUAAUUCUGCAAGUCAUGGCAAAUCAAAAUACCAUUCUCAGUGCUCUAAGGGGAAACUUGCCGACGAUUUGAUGAUAUCUUCCAAAGGGGAUAUGGAUUCUUGAAUGAAACUAUUGACUUUGUUUCAGAGACUUAAGCACACGUCAGGUCUUAGUAUUAAUCCCCUUAAGACAGAGAUAUAUAUGUAGCUGGUAUUAAGUGGCAGCUAGUGGAUGAUAUACAUCUCUUGGUGGCUUGGCCAAAUGCCAGUUAGAUACCUUGGCCUUCCCCUAAUUUUGGGAAGGUUAAGAGAAGAGUGUAAGCCUUUGGUGGACAAGAUUACUUUUCGAGUGAGUCCCUGGACAAUAAGGCAACUCCGUUGCGCUGAAAGAUUGCAACUCAUUGAGGAAGUAACAGCUUGGUGAAUUUUUGGAGUCAAAUUUUUUUGUUGUCAAAAAAGUUAGCGAUAUUAUGGAAAGCGAGUGUAUUGCCUACCUUUGGAAGGAAAAAUCUGAAAACGCUCGAGGUUCAAAAGUUGCUUGGAUGAUGCAUGUCUCCCUAACUUUAAGGGUGGAUUAGGAUUUGAGGAAACUGGGGCCUUGAAAUCUUGCUUGUCUAUUGAAGAACUUACGGAGAUUCUGUUGCAGGCUGGAUCCAUUUGGGUGGCCUGGCUUAGCUGUUUCUUGAUUAAAGGGCGGUCAACUUGGGCAGUGAAUCCAACUGGCGGGAGCAGCAAUGCUUGGAGAAAGUUUACUUGAAGCAAUGUAAAUUAGUAUAUAAUAUAUAGUUUCAUUUAAAAUUAAUAAUUGAAAAUUUGACGGAGAAAUGCUGUGCGUAAUUGUAAUUUGCACUGCAAAGCAUAGCUUGAGUGGUCACUUUUCUUCUUGUCCCUUAUAAAACUCGACCUCACUUACGACGUGGUUUCAAGAAGACUUUUUGAGAUUUCUAAUUCUCAUGUCUUACAUAUAAUGGAUGAUGAGACUGGAAAAAUGCAAAGUCAAGUUUUUCAAAUUAUGAUAUGGGAAAUCUAUUCUCAACUUUUCACCACCAAUAUAAGAAGAUUACUAGAAACCUACUAGACUAGAUCUUUGCUAGAAAUGCAUCCCCUUUUAAGGCAUGAAUGAUAAUCAUUUUGUUUUUUUGUUCUUGAGAGUAGGUUUUGGAAUAGAAAUCUGUUUAGUGACAUAAUUUCAUUUUUUUAUCUUUAGGACAAAUUUUUAGCCUGGAAAUAAAUUUGGAACAAAUAUGAAAAGUAGAAAAUGGGAACAAAAUAAAAACCUCUUUUUAUCACUCGUCCUCAUCGCCACCCUCCAUCAGCCGUCACCAUCCUCCGCCGGUCGCUUGCCCUCCACCAGCUACUAGUCACCACCUUCCACUCAUCACCCACCUGUCAGCCAGCAAUUGUUGCCCUUCACCGGCCGCCACCAAGAAAUUAAUUUAUAUAAAAAAAGUUUUAAUUCGAAAACAUAAAUUCUGCGUCAUUAUCAAAUGUAUAUCUUUACUCAGAAACUCAUCUAAACAAAAAAUUAUUUCCGAGAACAAAAUGAUUAUGAUUUGUGCCAUUAGUAAACUCGAAUUUAAUCGGAACAAAUCAGAACGCAGUCGAAUCUGAAUGGGUUUCAUAGGUAAGUUGAAAGACAAAAAGGUCAACGUCCCCGAGAAAUGUCAGUGGGAGGCAAUUUUCGCUGAGCAAACCUAAAAUGCAGUCAUUCACUUCGUCUCAGUUGCUCUCAGCUCACCUGUGACAUGGCUGUUGGACGAUGACCACAUACGUCUCACGUUCCACGUUGCGCCCGAUGGACAGUGCUUUUUCUUCUUCUUUUCCUUUGUUUUCUUACUUUUCUUUUCUUUUUCUUUUGUUUUUACUUGCUUUUUUACGAAUCCUUUAUAGAGGAUCAACAUCCAAUAGAUCAUCAUGGUAAUCUAGAGGAGAGUUUCCAUAUCAAAAGGUGGAAAACACAUUGCAUUGAAACGGUCGUUCGCCCCUCUUCUCCAUUCCCAUCAAGAUCUACUUCGUACACCACUGAAAAUUAGUCCACAAAAUGAUAAGAAAUUGCAUGGCGAAGAUUUCGCAAAGAUAAAAUCGACAUUAAAACCGGAAAAAGGAGCCAAAUGCUAAUGUUCCCACAAAUAUGAGAGCUCACCAUUAGGGAUGGGCAUGGGGGCGAGUCCAAUGCGGCGAACUAGGGACCUGUGCCAUCCCUGUCCCCUUCCCCACGGGGGGCAGGGCGGUUCGCCGGCGGUUCACGAGCGGAAAGGGCGGCAGAGAGUAAGAUAGAGAGAGACGGUGUAUUAACACAGUGCCAAAAAUGUUGCUUUAAUUCCCACUAGUAUCCGUGCAUUUAAACAGAGCGGGAGGUACACUCAAGUCAACGCUCAGCGAGCCAAACCAACAUUGUCCUUAACAUUUUUCGUAGCGAGCCAAACCAACAAGCACCGACGCCCAUUUCACCUAAAUUUAUAAAUUCGUUCAUCUCAAUAAGAACUUACUAGAAAUGUGAACCCGCUUAGAACAACAACAGAUGAUAACUUUUGUCCCAAAAGAUAAUGUAAGUGAAAGAAAGUUAGUAGAGCUGACAAGUGCCACAAUAGAUGGAGUAUGAAUAACGACAUGCACUUUGAGAUCGAUUUACAAUUGGUUUUGAAUUAUGAAGGUUUGACGAAUCGCGUAGACGUGAAAGGAAUGAGAAGAGAUAAGGUCAAUAGUGGGGAUUUUAAGGACAAUGUUGGUUUGGCUCGCCCAGAGCUUAAUGGAUAAUUAGCGAGGUACACUCAAGUCAACGCUCUAAAGUCAAACCUGAAAUUGAAUGCACCGCAAAAAACUAAAGGGCCAUUUGAGGAACUAAAGAAUGGACUAAUCAGCAUGAGUUUGAAGAGUAGCUUGGUCAACUUCGACAAACUCAGCGACCCAGGCCUUUGAGGAUGUCCUCGAUGGUGCCAUCGUCGGUCUUGGCAAACUCGACGUGCUUCUUGCAGUACUCGAUCAGCAUUGAAGUACGAUCGCAAUCUGAGGAACCAUGCUCACCACUGCGAAUGCACACCAAUGGGAGAGGCAAGGACACAAAUGCAGUCGAUGAGGAAGAUCACCCUUGGAAGCUCCGACGGUGAUCCAUUCGAGGUAAGUGAGGAUGGGGCCGACGAGUCACAGACGAUCAAGCACAUAUACUCACCCUCUUUAUUCACAAUUGUGGCUGAUGUUUUAUCCCAUAUACUCAACAAUGCUCUGUAGGUGGGUUAGUGUCACGCAAUUAAGCUAAAAAAGGAGUGCCCUGAGCCCACCUUCUCUUUAAAUAUGACUCCCUAUUGUUACUUGUUGCUAACCCUGUUUGAACUGCAGACGUUUGAAAAAGAUUCUUGGCUGUAUUGUAUGGCUCAAGGCAGAGGAUUAUGUUGCAAAAAUCCAGUAUAUGCUUCAGUCCUAGCACGGGUGCUAUAUGGGUCCUGAAAAGAACAGUCCAGGGAAUCAAUAUUAUUCAGAACCCUGGUAACUAUUUGGGUCUACCUAUUCUAUGAGGUAGAUCUAAACGUGAAGCUCUUGGCUUUGUGGAGGAAAAAGUCUUGAAAAGAAUGCCGAGCUGGAAAACUAAAUUGGUCUCACAAGCUAGUAGGGAGAUUAUGGUAAAAACAGUGGCUUAUGCAGUACCAACUUAUUCCGUUGUCUUAUUUCAAGUUUCCAAAGAAGUGGCUUGAGGUCGUUGAUGCAGCUAUAGCCAAUUUUUGGUGGGGGUAAGCAGAAUAAUGAAGGGAAAGUGCAUUGGGAGAAUAGGGAAAGCUUAACUGAAGCAAAAUUAGAAUGAGGCUUGGGUUUUAGAAAAUUUUCACAGUUUAACAUAACCCUCCUUGCUAAGCUUGCUCGGAGAAUCCAAAGCAACCCCUCAGAAUUCUGGGUGCAAAUAUUUCAAGCGCUCUACUUUCCCCUUUGUAGCUUCAUGGAAGUCAAAAGAGGUGGCAGAAUGUCUUGGGGAUGGAGUAUAGUUUUGGAGGGAGAGGUCUGAUUAAGGAAGGUGGGUUAUGGUAAAUUGCUGAUGGGAAGUCGGUCAAAGUUGGGGAGGAUAGGUUGGUGAAGGAGAGUUGAGACUUGAUGCUUAUCCUCUAAUCCGACUCAGGUGAAAAAGUAAUUAAGAAUGGAGUCUCUAACUGGUGCAGAUACUAGGACUUGGAACUUGACCCCCAUUAAAGACAUCAUACGGCAGGAGGAGCAGUGAUCGGUGUUGAGAAAUCUCAUAAGGUGGAGAAGUUCCGAUGACCAACGAUUUGGCCCCGGAACAGGAGUGGUGGUUCUCCAGUAAAGUCUCUACCACUUUACUAUGCAGAAAAGAAAGAAACAUCCAAGCCUAGACCUCAAACUCUCAUACUAUUGAUGGUAUAGUUUGGAAAUUAGCACGGGUGUUGACUCUCCUCCCACGAUAAGACACUUCCAUUGGCAACUUUGCUUGAAUGUUAUGUCUGCUGCUGCUAAUCCGUGCAAAAGAAAAGAAUAAAGUUUCUCUUGCUUGUGUUCUGUUUUGAGAUUAUAUCUGUUGAGCAUUUAUACUCAAUUGCUUAAAGUUGAAAAUCCAAAAAACGAAAUGAUUCAGAUAGCCAAAGGACUCAUCAUUUGUUUAAAUUUGGAAAAAAGAAGAAGAAGAAAAGAACAGAAAGAAAAUCAAACUUUUACAUGAAAAGUCAGUGCAACUCAGCAGCAAAAUUGUGUUGCUAUGCAAAGUUGUCUCCAACUAAAAUUUAGAGAAAGAUAAAUAUUUCUCACAAAAGAGUGGAUGGUAAGCAAGAUGGAAACUUUCUAGAGUUUCACCUCCAAGAGUGAUAAUCCGAUCAAUGACACCUCUCCUUCAUGGAUGGGCUUGUUUUCUAAUUUGAAGUGCUCGUUUUGCAUGCCAAUAGAUUUCAUUGAGCCAUAAAACAGCCCAAAGCUCAUUACCAAUUUCAUACAUAUCUUCGUUUGGUGAUAUCUAAUGUUAGUAACUCUCAAUGUUCAUCGUAAUUUCCCUAGACUUUGCUAUACCCAUCAAUUUACGUUCAUUAACUUGGUGGUGAGAAUAUGUAAGAUUUUGUGUCAUGGACAUAUUACAUCCGUUGUGAGUGUAAGAUAGGCUAUGGUACCAUUGAAUUAGUUUGUGCUAGUUGACACACAAGUUUUCGCUCGAGUCUUCUCGUUCAAUUAAGAAAAUUUGAGAUCAAAUUCGAUGGAGUUUGACCCCCGAAGCAAAAAUAUUGAUAUUGCAUAGUCUUGCCUUUGCAAUUCCCAACUCCAUUUCUUCACAUUUAAAUAUUAAAGACAUUUAAAUUUUGGGUAUAAAGUGCUCACGUCAAAAAAAACAUGGAUCAAAGAGUUUCUUUGGGAUUGGCUCGAUGGAUGGUCUAAUAUGCAAAAAAUGAGUCCCGAAAUCCCUUGAGGUUCCAGAAUCAAGCCCGCGCGAGACCGGCCUUAAGCGAAUCAAACUAGGCCUAAUGAAUGGAAAGGAAGCGCGGCCAUCUAAGGACAAUAAGGGAAACUCAAAUCGGCCAACACCCAUUUUCGAAGCCCACGCAUGGUUGGAAGGUCUUAUUCAGCUGCACACGUCGAAAUUGGAAGAAAAGGCAAAGGAGAAUCAACGAAGGAAAGGGGCGUGCAGUUUCCACCUUGACAAAGGGAGCAAUCUCGGCAUUCAGGGACCCAAAUUCAUCGCCAAAAGAAAGCAAGAAAAUCUGAGCACAAGAAAGCAGGGGAUUCUCCGCCAAGAGGGACGGGGGAUUUUUCAGCAUUUAAUCAUUGCCAAAGAGAGCCCGAAAAAGAAAAAAAGGAAAAGGAAAAGGAUGAAGCUUUUUCAUCACGGCCGAGAAAGAGAAACGCAGAGAGGGUUUCGGUCAACAAAAGAGAGAAGACUAAAAGAAAAAAGGAACAGAGAAGUGGUCGGCAAAAGAAGAGAAAAAGAGAAACAUAGGAGGCAGAUUCUCGUGGAGGAGGUGGAAAGAAAAAAGAGGACACAGAGAGAGAGCUGUUGGGGCACGCGUGAGGAAGCAACAGAGAGCGAAAGAUGCAAUUUCCCGUUUAAUUUCCACGAAGUUCACCUUUCCUCGACACUUUAAUUUCAGAGAAAUUUACUCCUCGCAGUCAAAUUUCUCCAUCAUUUCAUUUAAAGUCUGGCGCACCUUGCACUUGGGAAAAGCCAAAAAUGAAAUCAUUUUAGCACUGUUUUGAAGUUGACCGAUUUUUGUUCAAGUUAGAAUUAAAGUGUGAAAACCCAUUUUAUCUAGAGAAGGGGUGUGUAAAAGUGACCAGUUUGGGAACUUUGUAAGAGUCACCGUUGUCAAGAGCCACCCUCUUCAAAGGAAACUCAUUUUAUGAAGAGUACUCGCGCGUUCCAUGGACAAAGUUCACUUGGCAUCUAACUGUCAUUUCCAGGGACAAGCAUUUCCUAAACAAUUUUGUAACCACGUGAAACUGUUUAUCCAACUCUUCUUUGUAACAUUCAACCAUCAAAUCCAAAUACCUUCAGAAGAGGAAGACCGUGUUUUCUCUCUUCCACGCCUACAACAACCAAAGAUAUUUACAAUCAAUUUUUCUUGCCAUGAACCAAAUUAAAAUGCCAGCUUUGAAUUCCCCUCUCCUCGUUUUAGAUUGCCAAUCUUGGUUAUGCUAAUUAUAUUUUAAGCGACAAAUACUUCCACAUAUCAAUUUCAACUCCUUUAAAACCUUUGAUGAGAGACUAGCGUUAGGAUUACAUGUAUUGCAUAUUCGUGUGUUCACAUUCGUGGAUAGUGACAUGUAUUUACUCAUUUUUUUCAAUUUAAAAGAAAAAAAAAACUAUAACUACAAAACAAUAACAUAACAACGUAUUUACUAGAUCAAUAUGAAUUAUUUACAAUCGAUAGACAAAUCGAAGAGUUUGAUGUCUAUCGAAUUUACAUGGCGUUGCUGAACAUCUAGAUUUCUUUAAAUACCUAAAAGAAGCUAUGCAAACCCAUACCGAGUCUCAUUGUAAAACACAAGUUUUAAUACAAUUAUUAUAUUGAGAUUGGUUCUCUCUGUCGCAUAAAUAGAUUUUAUACAAUAUCAAUCCAAAAAUUCGCCAGCUAAGCAAAGCAAAGAUGAUGGAAGACUUUGACUUUAUGUCCCUUGCCAGUCUUUUUCUUUUGACUUUUUCAUUCAAGUAACUUUUGUCGGCCUUUGCCUUACCUCUUUCUUUGGUUGGGAGAAAAGAAUAGGAAAAUUCAAGGAAGCAAGCAAAGAUGGUAGAAGACUUUGAUUUGUUUUCCCUCACCUUACGCUGGGAAGUAGAUUAUCUAACAACCAUGAUUUGAGAGGUGCGUGCGUCCUAGGCAAUUAACCAUUAGGAUUAAUUUAAAUAUGAGUACUCAUCGCCUCCUCUCCCGACCUAUGCGAUAAGUAACUUUAAAUUAGAAAAGGUAAUUUUCUGCCUGUCUAUUGUUAGUAAAUCUCAAUGUUGAUAGUCAUUGUUCAUUCAACAAAAUAAGCUUAACCAUUUACGUAACUAGUACUUUAUAAGCCAACUUUUAACAUAGAAAAAGGUAACACAACUUCAUAUGGUUAGUAAAUGGUUAGUAACUCAUUAAUUUGACUUGUAAUAUAUAUAUACAUGAUUAGUUUUUCUUAUAUACAUUGAAGUAACUUUCCCUACAUCUGUGUGUCAGUAACUUUUCACAAGAUUGCAUUGAAAUUUUUGGAGAUGCAAGUGACAUCCGGGCUAGAGUUUAUGACUUUGCACUAAAUUUUGUUUUGAUCCAUUCAUGAUAAAAAAAAAAAACAUCAAUAAUACUUAGAUCAUUAAUUUACUACACUCCAUCCAAUCAUUUUAGUAUAUGUACAUUCAAGCAAACGGAAAUUUAUUUUCCACCUUUUAAAUGGAAACAAGUAAAGUUAUUGUCAAGAUUUAUAUUUAAUGAAACUGCUGGUCCUUGAAAUUUUAUUUGAAUGUGUCCAUGUCAUAUCUAAUUCAACAAUCGAUUCAAUUACAUCCUUAAAUAUUUGUCUAAUGUGCGCCAUGAUCUUAUCUCUUAAUUGAUUAUGUUCCUGACCUUUUUGAAUAUGUUCAACAUUGUCUCAUUUUAGUAAUUAGAAGGACAAAUCCGUACAAUGUCACUUUCUAGUCUUUUGCUCGUCAAGAACAAAUGGUUUGUUCUUUACUUUCUACAAGCUUUAGCUACUAAUGUUGAUCCGGCUCCUAACACUUCCAACAUGUGAGAAUCACAGUUAAACAUUAUUUAGUAGGAUGCAUUUUUAGUUCCGAGGAUGAAGCUUCGGAAAGCUACCUAGAGGAACAGUAUAUUGGCCCAUACACUUCUAUGCUUUCAUUUAACUUAUUUUUCUGUAAACUAAGGCAAUAAAGUAAUUAUACAAAAUUAGUAUGAUUAGUAACUCAUUUUAUAUUAAAAAAAUGCAUCUACCUAUUAGUAACUAGUAAUCUGGACGCGUAAGUUUCGAGAGUGGGUUGCGACUCCCACGCCCUCAGGGCACAAGUCUGCGAGUGAGUGUAGAGUAGGCAUAGAGUAGGACUGACAAAAAAAAAAAACUUAUUUUUCUGUAUAAAAAAGCAAUAAAGUGAUUAUACAAAAUUAAUAUGAUUAGUAACUCAAUUUAUAUAUAACAAAAAUUUCCAUCUACCUAUUAGUAACUAGUAAUUUUUCUAUGCAAUAAAUAAUUAUGGAAUAAAAAAAGGUAAUUUUCUGCCGAGUGUUAGUAAGUCAUACUAUUCAUAGUAAUUUUUCUAGACUUUGCUAUACACAUCAACUCAUGUUUGUUAUCUUAUUGGACUACAUAAGAUUUUAAAUAGUGGAUAUAUUACACUUGGUGUGAGUGUUAUGCCACUGUUAAACUAGAUUGUACCAAUUGACACCUAAAUUUUCAUUAGAAGACUUCCAUUCAUUUGAUAAGAAAAUUGGAGAUUGAAUUCAACAAAGUUUGACCCCUAAACAAAAAUGUCAAUCUUGCAUGGUCAUGCAUUCGUAAUUCUCACUUCGUUUCUUCGCAUUUAGAUAUCGGGGACAUUUUAAUUUUGGGCAUGAAGUAUUCACAUCGAGCAAAGCAUGGUUCCAUCUGUGAGUUUUCUUGGAAGUGGCCCAAUAGAUGGCUCCAUAUGCAAAAAUGAGUCCUAAACUCACUUGAGGUGCCAAAACCGAGUCCGCGUGAGUCCAGUGACUCCAGCCCCCAAGCUGUAAUCGAACUCAGCCGAAUGGAGGGAUUGGAAGCGUGGCCAUUCAAGGGCAACAAGGGAAAUUUUAAUCGGCCAAUACCCAUUUUCGUGGCCAAUUCCAGUCUGAACUUAUAAGAUGGAAGGUCUUGUUCAGUUGCUGUACGCGUCCAAAUGGAAGAAAAGGCAAAGGAGAAUCAAAAGGAGGAAAAGGGGCGUGUAAUUUCCAUCUUGACAAAGGGAGCAAUCUCGGCAUUCACGGACUGGAAUUCACGGCCAAAAAAACAAAAAAUCUGGGCAUAGAAAAGCAGAGGAUUCUCGGCCAAGUGGGGCAGCGAUUUUUCAGCGUUUAAUCAUUUCCAAAGAUAUCUUGAAAAGGAAAAGGAAAAGGGUGGAGCUUUUUCUGCACGGCCAAGAAAGAGAAACACAGAGAGGAGAAAAUAUUCAGUGGAAUGUUUCUCCAAGGGGAGGGUUUCGGUUAAGUAGAGAGAGAAGACUAGAAGGAAAAAAAGAACAGAGAAGUGGUCAGCAAAAGAAAAGAAAAAUAAGAACAGAGCAAAAGACGCAGUUUCCGUUUAAUUUCCUCGAAGUUCACUUAUCCUCUGCACUUUAAUUUCCGAGAAUUUUACUCCUCGCAGUUAAAUUUCUCCAUCAUUUCAUUUUAAAGCCCAUCGCACCUUGCACCUGGAAAAAGCCAAAAACAAAAUCAUGUUUAGCACUGUUUUGGAGUUGACAGACUUUUGUUCAAGUUGAAAGUGAAGUGUGAAAACCCAUUUUAUUUAAAGAAGAGGCGUGUAAAGGUGACCGCGUUGGGAACUUUGCAAGAGUCACCGUUGUCAAGAGCCACCCUCUUUAAAGGAAACUUAUUUUGUGAAGAAUACUCGCACAUUUGAUGGACAAGGAUCACUCUGCAUCAAACUGUCAUUUCCAAAAUACUUGACAAGAAUUUCCUGAACAAUUAAGUGACCGCAUACUCUUCUUCAUAACAUUCAAUCAUCAAAUCCAAGUACCUAGUAUUACUGUGGAAGAGGAAGAUAUUUACAAUUAAUUUCUCUUGCUGUGAACCACAAUUAAAUUCCAGCUCCGAAUUUCCCCCUCCUAAUUCUAAAAACAAGAUAUGUUUGACAUCAAAUCAAACUCUUAAAAGUUGAAAAAGAGGAAAAGCCUGAAGUCAAUGUAAAGAAACAUCCAUUUAUCUGAUAGGAUUAUGAGCCGAAAACCUCCUUUCAAAUUGAUGCCUAAUAACUGUUUUAUGUCCUUUGGACCAUGAAUAUCUAACAGUAAUAUUGGAUUAAAAACAUUAAUUCAUAAAACAAUGUUGCAACUUGUUAGAUAUAUUUGUAAUGGACUCAUCUGCAAAUUACCUAAUCAUUCACACAUGCAUUGGAUUACAUGUAUGUUGUAUAUGGUCCAAUUUUGUCUAGAAUCAUGAAAUUGUGUAUCUAUUCUACUCUAUAUUAGUUUAGGUUCUAUAUAAAUGAUUGCAACUACUUGUGUAGUGCAUUCUGAUGAUGUACAAAGACCUUCGGUUUAUCAGUCUCUCACCAACAUAACCAUUCAAUCGAAACUCGCCACCAUCCACUUAGACAGUCUCCGCCAUGACCCAUUUUCAAAGACUUUGAAUCCUAAAAUCACGUUGUUGAAUCAACCUCAACUACAACUCAACUCCAAUAUGGACGAAAAGCUCACAUGUCGGGACGACACAACUCAAUCCAAAUCUUUGCCUUCGUAGCUUGCCACCCUUUGGUGCUUAUUUCUCAAUGAACCACCCAUCAGACAAGUGACCCUCCUCCAAGUUGAACACUAGAAACCAGUUUUGCUGGAAUUGAUCCCACAGCCAAAUGUCUUGUACCAAAGUCGUUCUUCGGUUUUAUUAAAAGGGGCUAGUAUUUUGCAUCAACUCCACACAGAUGAUAUCUCAUGCAAAGAGGAAUCGAACUCCUUUGAUUUAAACAACACUAUACAAUUCCGGGCUAAGUUGGAUUUUUUGAUUUAAACAACACUAUACAAUUCCGGGCUAAGUUGGAUUUUAAUCAAUAACAAAGCCCAAAAGUUACGAGAUCAGUCUCAAACUAUGUCGGAAUUCAAUCGAGAACAUAAAUUGAGGAUACUGAGAUACAAUGUCAGAAUUCAAUCGAUGAUGAAGCAAGAUAAAGAUACACAUUGGAAUCUAAUCGACAACGCGAAUUCGAGAGUUAUAUAGCUAAGGAAAUUUAAAAUACAAUGUAGGAAAAGUAAAGAUAACUAAGAGAUAACAUUUUGUUUUACUUGUAUGAGGAGUCUUCUUGUUGGAUAGCUAGUGGUAUUUAUAUUGAAAGUGUAGUAACUUCUCCUCGACUAUGCUUAGUGGCUGUAUUUCUAAUGUAAAUAUCUAAAAACUUGUGAUCGGCAUAAGUAGAGCAACUAGGGGAGUAGAUGGAUUUUAUGAAUAAGGACAAAGAUAAAAAUUUGGUAAACUUUAUUACAUGGCCAAUCUUGGCUAUGUUGAUAUAUAUUUAAAGCAACAGAUAGCUUUCACAUAUCAACUUCGACUUUCUUCAAACCCUUGAUGAGAGACUAUUGUUAACAUUACAUGUAUUGCGUAUUCGCACACACACAUUCAUGAAAAGUAUAAUUACAAAACAAUAACAUUUCCAUGUAUGCUAUUUGAUACAUAUGAGUUAUUUAGAAUUAAUAAACAAGUUGAAGAGUAUGAUGUAUACUGAAUUUAUGUAACAUUAUCGGAUAUCUAGAUUUUCUUAAAAUAUUUAAGAAAACCGUGCAGACCCCAUAUUAAAUCCCAUAGUUAAACACAAAUUCCAGUAUAAUUAUUAAAUUAUUAUCGAUUUUCUCCGUAGCAUCGGUUACAAACCGUGCAAGGCGGUGGAAGACUUUUGGUUUGCUUUCACUCGUCGGAGCCUUUCUUUUCCACUUCUCUUUCGAGAGGAUUUUGUCAGCUUUUCUUUUUUCCAGCUAAAAAGCAAGAUGAUGAAAGACUUUUUGACUUACUUUCUCUCGUCGUUGAGUGGUCCUCGAUGAUGGGGACACCCUCAUUUCAUGUGCCCUUCCUUCACGUUCUCCUUUUCUGGGCCCCGCUGGUUGUGUGACAAUGUUUGACUUGGAAGCAGGCAUUCGGAUCGAACGGCUGAGGAUGAUUCCAUCUGGAGCAGGAUGGAUUAGAGUGGGCCAUCGGGCGAUUAAGGCCGGGAUCGAGGCAUGCUUAGAUGCAACUCUCACAUUUCGCGAUUUAUUACCACUAAUCCAUGACAAUGGCACUUUCGUAAUAGUAUUGUUAAACGUGACUUUCUUCUCUUCUGCACUGCUUUUUCUCUCUCUCUCUUUCUCACUCUGCGCGGAGCUCUCAUUCUUUGAAUUCUCACGCAUUCACGCACUCCCUUGGCCUUUUCAACUCUCUCGCUCUUCGCUCUGCUGGAAAACAUGGCGUUUUCCGGCGAACGCCGACCUCUCGACUGCUCUCUCCCUCCCGAGCUCACCUGCGAGACUCCCUGCCCCACCCUCAAGCUCUACUUCCUCAUUGGAAUCCUCAGCCUCUCCGCGCUCUCCAUCGCUCUCCUCAUAUACCUCUGCGUCUUUCUCAGUCGGACCUCAAAGAAGCGCGAAGUGCCAGCAAAAGGGACGAAUUCUCGGGAAUCAGUUGGACCUUCCUACGAGGUUUUUCUAAGUUUUCAUGGACGAGACACCCGUCAUGGAUUUACCGAUUUUCUUUACCAUGGCAUGGUUGAGGCCGGGAUCCUCGUCUUUAGGGAUAAUGAAUCCCUCCAUGUCGGUCAAAGAAUUGGCGAUGAACUUCUACAAGCCAUCCGAAACUCCAAGAUCUACAUUCCCAUAUUCUCCAAGAAUUAUGCGUCGAGCCACUGGUGCCUUCGAGAGCUUACACACAUGGUUGAGUGUGCCUCCAAGUCGAAUGGGAAUAAAGAGAUUUUGCCCAUUUUCUUGGAUGUGGAGCCUGAUGAUGUCAAGCUGAAAACAAACUUAUACAGCAAAGCCCUUUCAAAGCAUCAGAAAAAGUUUUGCACUGAAGUUGAAUCAUGGAAAAAGGCUCUUGUUAAUUUGGACAAGAUAAAGGGAUGGAACUUGAAAACAGAUGAAAGGUAAAUGUCUAAAACUUUUCAACUUGUCAUCCAUAGAUUUCCUUUUCUUCCCAAGUUAGUUUAAUUAUGGUAUCAUUGGUGAAAAUAUAGUUUAUUCAUCUCACCAAUCCUAUCUUGUGUAACUUGUGGUCGUGGCCGUUGUCACUGCUGCUAUCGGCCUCAGUGGCCGAUAUCGGCUCUAUCGUGGGCUUUGAUGGUUCUAUUGCGGUGGUAGUUGACCCUAUUCAUCCUAGUUUUGUUUCUCCUCACACACUUGGUCUCCAAUACAAUAGCCACGAACAGUAAUAAAAAUCUGAGUAGUUCCACCAAGCCACCGACCAGCCAUUGCAGCAGCUCGACGGUCAUUCGCCGUCACUUCUUCGUCGCCGGCUGGCACCAAGCUGCCAGAAGCCGCCGUUGAGCCAUGCGGCCCCCACCAUUUCUCCCUUUGACUCACUGUGAUGAGUCGGAUUUGUGCUCAGGAGGCCAUUUCCGACAUCACAAAGCCCAUAUCCGGAGUCGCCGACCUUCGGUAACCCCAAAUCUGGUGUUGCCCAAGGCCGGUGACACCAUCCUUGGCGGUCGCAAGGCCACGACCCACAUGAUGAGGAUUGAGGCAAGGCCUAGACGGGCAGGUCAAUAGGGCUCGAUGGGCAACGGCGCUGGAACGUGACAGGGAUGGCCCGGGGAGGUGAGUGAUGUCAACGACGGCGAGGUAGUGGCAGGGGCCAAUGGUGUGGUGACUGAAAUUUGGGGAGCGGAGAUAGAAUGGGAAAAAUCCAGAUUGUUCUGGUGCCUAAAUUAUUUUGCGCUUUUUCUUCAAAUCGUAAAUAUAAAAUUUAUUCUAACACGGUUGUUACAUUUUGGCAGCCAAGUAAAUCUGAAGCGAUCAAUAAUUCAAACAGUGUUGACUAAGUUGAACAUCGGAUUUAAAAAAAAUGUGACCGAAGAUCUAGUUGGAGUUGAUGAUCAUGUAGAAGCUAUAAUCAAAAUGUUGCAUGUGGAAUCCAAUAAUGUACAAUUCCUCGGAAUCCAUGGAAUGGGUGGGAUUGGCAAAACUACACUUGCCAAGGUCAUCUUUAACCGACUAUCUUCUAGUUUUUAUGAAUGCAAUUUCCUUUCAGACAUUGGAGAAUCAUCACGACGCCAUGGUAUGGUAGAUUUGCAAAAACAGUUGCUAUCCAAGUACAUUGAUUUUGAAGUGGUUCUCAAGCGAAUUCAUGAUGUGGAUGAUGGGAUCAACAUGAUUAAGAGAGUACUUUGCAAUAAAAAAGUUCUCAUUGUUCUUGAUGACGUGGAUGAGAAAAAACAACUUAAAAAUUUAGCAGGAAAAGAUAAUUGGUUCGGUUUCGGUAGUAGGAUUAUCAUAACUACUAGGGACCAAAGUGUCCUAACCACACUUGGAGAAGCAACAGAUGAAGGCUUUGCAAAUAUUUCGGCUUACGAAGUAGGUGAAAUGGAAUUUGAUCAUGCUCUUAAGCUUUUCAGUAGGCAUGCCUUUAGAAGAGACUCUCCAUUAGAUCAGUAUAUUUCCCUUUCCGAAAAAAUUGUCCAUACUUUGGGAAAACUUCCUUUAGCUCUUGAAGUUAUAGGUUCAUUCCUUUCCGAUAAAUCUAAAGCAUUAUGGGAAGACACAUUGAAUAAGCUAAAAGAGGCUCCUCCUAAGGAAGUCCAAAAGAAGUUGAUGAUAACUUAUGAAAGGUUAGAUGAUGUACAAAAGCAAGUAUUUUUGGAUAUAGCUUGCUUUUUUAUUGGUUGUUGUAAAGAAUACCCUUCUUACAUGUGGGAUGCUUGUGGAUAUUACCCGCACAAUGCCCUUGAAGUCCUCGUUCUCAUGUCCUUGAUAAAAAUCAAGGAUGACAAUACUUUUUGGAUGCAUGACCAAGUGCGGGAUCUCGGAAGGGACAUUGUUAGAAAAGAAAAUUUUGAUGAUCCCUGCAAGCGCAGCAGAGUGUGGAGUUCUAAGCAUGUGCUAAGCAUUUUGAAGCAGAAAGAGGUAUGAGAAUGGAACAAUAAUUUAUUUUCUUGUGAUUUUAUUCUUGUAAAAAGAAAAAAUAAAUCAAUAUUAACACUUGAAAUUGUUUGCUUUUGACCUUCACAUGUGGACUUCGUGUUGCCAUUGUCAGGGGAGAAGGGAAAUUAAAGCGAUGUCGUUUGCAUAUUCUGAAGAUUCUAAAAAUGGUGAUUUAUUCGAGGCUGAUGAAUUUGCCAAUCUAGAAAAGCUAAGGUUCUUUCAAGGACAUCAGAUAUCCUUUGUUGGAGACUUCAAUAAUCUUCUUUCCAACUUAAAAUGGCUUUGUUGCUAUGGCCACUCAGUCAUGUUUGAGGCAAAAAACUUUCAUCCAACUAAUUUAGUCGUUUUUAACCUUUCAAUGAGCAACAUUUCGGAAAAAGAUAUUGAUUGGAUCAAAGUACGAUACGAACCCCACUCCUUGUAUUCGUAAAUCGUUUCUUUUCAUUUUUUUUUGUAGGUGGUUCCUCAAUAAAUAUUUUAUCAAAUUGUUUUGCAGGCGGUAAGGAAAUUGAAAGUCCUAGAUGUCAACUCCUGCAAUUACUUAAGGAGAACACCUGAUUUAUCCACAUUGGCGUCUUUGGAGAUCCUAAGAAUAACAUAUUGUGAAAUUUUGGAAAGUAUCGAUUGGAUUGAGGUACGAUACGAGUCUCACUCCUUGUAUUCAUAAAUGAUUUAUUUUUAUAUUUUUUUGUAGGUCAUUUCUCAAUAAAUAUUAUUGUUUUGCAGGGGCCAAGGGAAAUAAAAGUCUUAGAUCUCAGCGGCUGCCAAUACUUAAGGAGAGUGCCUGAUUUAUCUAUGUUGGUGUCUUUGGAGAUUUUGAGAUUACAUUAUUGUUCAAAGAUAAAGAAACUUCCAGACUCGAUUGGGAAAUUACAAUCAUUAAUCAAGUUGGAUUUGUUAUAAACGAAUAUUGAUCACCUACCGGAUUCAUUCAGCAAUCUAAAGCAACUGACAACACUUAGGAUGAUGGACAUUAAGGGAGGGUUGACAAAAUUACCUAGUGCGAUCUGGUUUGUUCAGUUUGUGGCUUAUUCUUUUUCGUCCCACGAUAAUGAGCUGUACUGUUUGAAAAUGCCAGACUUGUCAUGGACCCAAAUAUUUGGAUUACCCACCGUGGCGAGUCUCGUCUCUAAUAUCCGUGAACUUCGGAUGGACGCGUGGUAUAGCAGACGGCCCAACUUUUACACCCUUGAACUUGAUAAGCCGGAGAAUGUCAAUUUUUAUCGCGAGUCCCUCGAGCGUAGCAAAUCUCAGAGGGAAAAACAAAUAUUGGCCUCCCCAAACAUGCGGUUCCUCCUUCAGCUCCCGUCUAGUUUAAGAGACUCAGUAUUUCGAGAAGUGCGGAAUCUGGGUUUCUGUCGUUAUUGGAUGCCGAUAUUCGUUGGUAUAUGUGAUUCGGAGUUGGAGAAACUCCUUCUGCAGGAUUCCACGCUUUCAAGACGGAUUGAACAGUGUUGGCUGAGAAACAGGAAAUUCCCGUCCAGAUACCGUCGGAGGAUUCGUCGACAGCGGCAUCAGCCCACAAAAGCACUUGAGCCGUCGCAUAUUAAGAAUCUGCAAGAGGUUGAUCUGUUCGAAUGCGAGCUACUAGUCGAGAUUCGCGGCCUCGAAGAAUUGGGAUACCUUUCAUCCCUUGCGGUCGCAUAUUGUAGGUCGAUCGAAAGGAUGCCAGACCUAUCGAAAUCGAGGAAGCUAAGGGAGCUUCGAGUGGGAAAAUGUCCGAAGCUAAGAAGCAUGGAAGGUUUGGAACGCUUGGAAUCUCUAAAGUGUUUGCGGAUUCACGAUUGCAGGUCUUUGGAGAGUCUGGUGGACACCUCGAAUUUGGAUUUAGAAUGUUGCCUGAUUGUCCGUUGCAAGCGGUUGCCCGACUGUCGCAAUUAUUGUAAACGUGGCCGGGAUUGCUAUUGUGAGAUGCUUUUCGAGGGGUUAUGGAAAUCUGACCCGAUGGAAGUCCAGCAAGUAUUACAGGGACACCCGGAUGUUGCGCCAGUAAGGAAUUUAGAACGUGGCUUGGUUGUUGUGCUUGGUGUAGCCAUUUUGUUUGUUUUGUUGUUGUUUUGUUUUUUUGUUCUAUGAAAAAGGCUUUCUCCCGGACAAAUAUUGGUGAUGAAGCUAUGGAAGUGAACGAGGCACGCUCAUAUGAUGCCAAAACAUUGUCCAAUUUUGAUCAGCUCUUGAACAUAGUACUCAGUUCAUUGAUUGCUGUCCAUGAUUUCCAUUCUAUUCCUCCUUUUGUCUUUGUUAUAGAUGAGUUUCAACUCAAACGAGUGUGGUCGAACCCUGUUUUUCUCUCGCUUGUUUUGUUUGAAACGGAGAAACUGAACACAGAACGUGAAAAUCUCGCAGCGAGAGAUGGGGGAAGGGCUAGAGAGAUAGAGAGAGAGGGAGAGAGAGGGUGGUUGGAGUUUCUCUCGGCUUCUUACAAGAGAGAGAGAGAGAGAGGAGGGGGGGAUUUGUCUGCGUUGCGUGGUGACUGUCUGAUAAGAGGGGGGGCGUCGAGUUGUUCGAGGUCAGCGAGGCUGUGGCGGUCGAGUCGCAGACGGUCAAGCACAUAUACUAACACUUUUUAUUCACAAUUGUGGCUUUAUGUUUUAUCCCAUAUGCUGUAGGAGGGUUGGCUUUUAGGAAUUAAGCUUAAAAAGGAGUGCCCUGAGCCCACAUUCUCUUUACUUAUGACUCCCUAUUCUUUCUUGUUACUAACCCUGAUUGAACUGCAGAUGUUCGAAAAAGAUUCUUGACUGUAUUGCACUGCUCGAUCCCCAGGAUUAUCUUGCAAAAUUCCAGUAUAUGAUUCAGUCCUGACACGGGUGCAGAGUUCAUAACAGAGGUACGCACCGUCCAGGGAAUGAAUGGUAUUCAGAACUCUGGUAACUAUAUGGGUCUACCUAUUCUAUGGGGGUAGAUCCAAACAAGAAGCUCUUGGCUUUUUUAAGGAUAGAGUCUUGACAAGGAUGCCUAGCUGAAAAUCUAAAUUGUUGUCACAAGCUGGUAGAGAGUAUAGGUAAAAACAGUGGCUUAUGCUGUACAAACUUACUCCAUGUCUUGUUUCAAGUUUCCAAAGAAGUGGCAUGAAGAAGUGGAUGCAGCUAUAGCCAAUUUUUGGUUGGGAAAGCUUAACCGAAGCAAAGUUAGAAUGAGUCUUUAGUUUAUCACAGUUUGACAGAACCCUCCUUGCUAAGCUUGCUUGAAGAGUCCAAAGCAACCCCUCAGAAUUCUGGGUGCAAAUAUUUCAAGCGCUCUACCCUUUGUAGCUUUGUGGAAGUUAGAAGAGGUGGCAGAAUGUCUUGGGGAUGGAGUAGAGUUUUGGAAGGAGAGAUCUAAUUAAGGAAGGCAUGUUAUAAAAAAUUGCUAAUGGGAAAUCAGUCAAAGUUGGGGAGGAUAGGUUGGUGAAGGAGAGUUGAGACUUGAUGCUGCAUCCUUCAAUCUGACUCAGGGGAUAAAGGAAUUAAGAAUGGAGUCUCUAAUUGAUUCAGAUACUAAGACUUGGAACUUAAACCCCAUUAAAGACAGCAUGUGGUAGGAGGAGCAGUGAUUGGUGUUGAGAAAUCACAUAAGGUUGAGAAGUUCAGAUGACCAAAUGAUUUGGCCCUGGAACAGGAUUGGUUGUUCUUCAGUAAAGUCUCUACCACUUUACCAUGCAGAAAAGAAAGAAACAUCUACUAAAGCCUAGAUCCUCAAGCUCUCAUACUAUUGAUGGUAUAAAUUGGAAGUUAGCACAGGGAGUUGACUCUCCUCAAGACAAGACACUUCCUCUAGCAACUUUGCUUGAAUGUUGUGCCUGCUGCUGCUACAUGUGCAAAAGAAAAAAAUAUAGUUUCUCCUGGCGACGGUGCCCUUAAGAGUUUGUGCCAACAAACUUUCAUCUGACUAAUUUAGUCGUUCUUGACCUUUCAGAUAGCGAUGUUUCAGAGAAAUGGAUUGGCUGGAAUCAAAUCAUAAUAUAGUACGAAUCUUACUCCUUACAUACAUGUAUCAUUACUUGUCGUUUUUUUUUUUCCUGCAAAUAAUUUCUUAGUAUAUAUUUUGUUUUGCAGGUGGCAAGUAAACUAGAAGUACUAGAUCUCAACAAUUGCGAAUACUUAAUGAGAACACCUUAUUUAUCUAUGUCAGCGUCCUUGGAGAGAUUGAAUCUUGAAGGUUUUCACAACUUAAUUGAAAUUGACCCAUCCAUUGGUAAAUUAAAGCUCCUAACUGCUUUGAACCUGAAGGGAUGUGACUCUUUUGAAGAGUUACCUGAAGAGAUAGGAUAUCUACAAGCUUUAACAGAGAUUGUCAUGCCUAAUACACUACAUGAACUUUCGAAGAGAUUUGGUAAUUUGUGGUCACUGUUGACCUUUGAUGUAUCGCAUAAGCAGAUUAGCAAACUGCCAUACUCGAUCGGAGAGCUAGUGAAACUUAGGCGGUUGGAUUUAUCAGGGUGUACAAAGAUAGAGGAACUUCCAGACUCAAGUUUGGAAAGUACAAUCCUUAGUUGAGUUGGAUUUGUCAUUGAUAAUAUUUGUGGACCUUAAAAAGACUUAAAGAUUGAC
RNAcentral lists this long non-coding RNA (24206 nucleotides) under Eucalyptus grandis. Its description in RNAcentral is "long non-coding RNA (EGRA_LNC000749)". The record is from RNAcentral. Lineage: Eukaryota; Viridiplantae; Streptophyta; Magnoliopsida; Myrtales; Myrtaceae.